GAUGAACGCUAGCGGCAGGCUUAACACAUGCAAGUCGUGGGGCAGCGCGGACUUCGGUCUGGCGGCGACCGGCAAACGGGUGCGGAACACGUACGCAACCUCCCUCAGAGCGGGGAAUAGCCUCUCGAAAGAGAGAUUAAUACCCCAUAGUAUCUUGAAGACACAUGUCUAUGAGAUUAAAGCUUCGGCACUUUGAGAUGGGCGUGCGGCUGAUUAGGUAGUUGGUAGGGUAACGGCCUACCAAGCCGACGAUCAGUAGCUGAUGUGAGAGCAUGAUCAGCCACACGGGCACUGAGACACGGGCCCGACUCCUACGGGAGGCAGCAGUGAGGAAUAUUGGUCAAUGGAGGAAACUCUGAACCAGCCAUGUCGCGUGGAGGAUGAAGGUCCUCUGGAUUGUAAACUCCUUUUAUAAAAGAAGAAACCCCAUUUUUCUAAAUGGGUUGACGGUACUUUAUGAAUAAGCACCGGCUAACUCCGUGCCAGCAGCCGCGGUAAUACGGAGGGUGCAAGCGUUAUCCGGAUUCACUGGGUUUAAAGGGAGCGUAGGUGGGUUGGUAAGUCAGUGGUGAAAUCUCCGAGCUUAACUUGGAAACUGCCAUUGAUACUAUCGAUCUUGAAUACUGUGGAGGUAAGCGGAAUAUAUCAUGUAGCGGUGAAAUGCUUAGAUAUGAUAUAGAACACCAAUAGCGAAGGCAGCUUACUACGCAGUUAUUGACACUGAGGCUCGAAAGCGUGGGGAUCAAACAGGAUUAGAUACCCUGGUAGUCCACGCCCUAAACUAUGGAUACUCGACAUCAGCGAUACACUGUUGGUGUCUGAGCGAAAGCAUUAAGUAUCCCACCUGGGAAGUACGUCCGCAAGGAUGAAACUCAAAGGAAUUGGCGGGGGUCCGCACAAGCGGUGGAGCA
This 911-nucleotide ribosomal RNA is filed under the name uncultured bacterium. RNAcentral describes it as "bacterial SSU rRNA". It matches the Rfam family "Bacterial small subunit ribosomal RNA", at positions 28 to 939 of the family's 1533-position model. The record is from RNAcentral.